RNAcentral lists this ribosomal RNA (546 nucleotides) under uncultured Nocardia sp. Its description in RNAcentral is "bacterial SSU rRNA". It matches the Rfam family "Bacterial small subunit ribosomal RNA", at positions 359 to 917 of the family's 1533-position model. The record is from RNAcentral. Lineage: Bacteria; Bacillati; Actinomycetota; Actinomycetes; Mycobacteriales; Nocardiaceae.
CACUUGUGCCCUGGGGCGCAACCUGAUGCAGCGACGCCGCGUGAGGGAUGACGGCCUUCGGGUUGUAAACCUCUUUCAACAGGGACGAAGCGCAAGUGACGGUACCUGCAGAAGAAGCACCGGCCAACUACGUGCCAGCAGCCGCGGUAAUACGUAGGGUGCGAGCGUUGUCCGGAAUUACUGGGCGUAAAGAGCUCGUAGGCGGCUUGUCGCGUCGAUAGUGAAAACUUGGGGCUCAACCCCAGGCUUGCGGUCGAUACGGGCAGGCUUGAGUACUUCAGGGGAGACUGGAAUUCCUGGUGUAGCGGUGAAAUGCGCAGAUAUCAGGAGGAACACCGGUGGCGAAGGCGGGUCUCUGGGAAGUAACUGACGCUGAGAAGCGAAAGCGUGGGUAGCGAACAGGAUUAGAUACCCUGGUAGUCCACGCCGUAAACGGUGGGUACUAGGUGUGGGUUUCCUUCCACGGGAUCCGUGCCGUAGCUAACGCAUUAAGUACCCCGCCUGGGGAGUACGGCCGCAAGGCUAAAACUCAAAUGAAUUGACGGA